UGGGGAAUUUUGGACAAUGGGCGCAAGCCUGAUCCAGCCAUGCCGCGUGCGGGAAGAAGGCCUUCGGGUUGUAAACCGCUUUUGUCAGGGAAGAAAUCUUCUGAGUUAAUACCUCGGGAGGAUGACGGUACCUGAAGAAUAAGCACCGGCUAACUACGUGCCAGCAGCCGCGGUAAUACGUAGGGUGCAAGCGUUAAUCGGAAUUACUGGGCGUAAAGCGUGCGCAGGCGGUUUUGUAAGACAGAGGUGAAAUCCCCGGGCUCAACCUGGGAACUGCCUUUGUGACUGCAAGGCUUGAGUGCGGCAGAGGGGGAUGGAAUUCCGCGUGUAGCAGUGAAAUGCGUAGAUAUGCGGAGGAACACCGAUGGCGAAGGCAAUCCCCUGGGCCUGCACUGACGCUCAUGCACGAAAGCGUGGGGAGCAAACAGGAUUAGAUAGCCCUGGUAGUCCACGCCCUAAAACGAUGUCAACUGGUUGUUGGGAAGGUUCCUUCUCAGUAACGUAGCUAACGCGUGAAGUUGACCGCCUGGGGAGUACGGCCGCAAGGUUGAAACUCAAAUGAAUUGAC
This 568-nucleotide ribosomal RNA is filed under the name uncultured bacterium. Its description in RNAcentral is "partial 16S ribosomal RNA". It matches the Rfam family "Bacterial small subunit ribosomal RNA", at positions 355 to 914 of the family's 1533-position model. The record is from RNAcentral.